This 482-nucleotide ribosomal RNA is filed under the name uncultured bacterium. RNAcentral describes it as "partial 16S ribosomal RNA". It matches the Rfam family "Bacterial small subunit ribosomal RNA", at positions 30 to 507 of the family's 1533-position model. The record is from RNAcentral.
AUUGAACGCUGGCGGCAUGCCUUACACAUGCAAGUCGAACGGUAACGGGCCUUCGGGUGCCGACGAGUGGCGAACGGGUGAGUAAUACAUCGGAACGUGCCCGAUCGUGGGGGAUAACGAGGCGAAAGCUUUGCUAAUACCGCAUACGAUCUACGGAUGAAAGCAGGGGACCGCAAGGCCUUGCGCGGACGGAGCGGCCGAUGGCAGAUUAGGUAGUUGGUGGGAUAAAAGCUUACCAAGCCGACGAUCUGUAGCUGGUCUGAGAGGAUGAUCAGCCACACUGGGACUGAGACACGGCCCAGACUCCUACGGGAGGCAGCAGUGGGGAAUUUUGGACAAAGGGCGCAAGCCUGAUCCGGCCAUGCCGCGUGCAGGAUGAAGGCCUUCGGGUUGUAAACUGCUUUUGUACGGAACGAAAAGCCUUCUUUUAAUACAGGAGGGUCAUGACGGUACCGUAAGAAUAAGCACCGGCUAACUACGUG